RNAcentral lists this ribosomal RNA (253 nucleotides) under uncultured bacterium. RNAcentral's name for it is "partial 16S ribosomal RNA". It matches the Rfam family "Bacterial small subunit ribosomal RNA", at positions 524 to 776 of the family's 1533-position model. The record is from RNAcentral.
UACGGGGGGGGCAAGCGUUGUUCGGAAUUACUGGGCGUAAAGGGCGCGUAGGCGGCCUUCUAAGUCAGACGUGAAAUCCCCAGGCUUAACUUGAGAACUGCGUCUGAUACUGGGAGGCUUGAGUGCGGGAGAGGGAUGUGGAAUUCCAGGUGUAGCGGUGAGAUGCGUAGAUAUCUGGAGGAACACCGGUGGCGAAGGCGAGUCCCUGGACAACACCUGACACUGAGGCACGAAAGCCGGGGGAGCAAACAGG